Drosophila subpulchrella is the source of this 299-nucleotide long non-coding RNA. RefSeq lists it as uncharacterized. Lineage: Eukaryota; Metazoa; Arthropoda; Insecta; Diptera; Drosophilidae. The transcript has 3 exons. The record is from RefSeq and is a predicted model, not a curated record.
GCUGUCAACGCAUUGUUGUGGGCGCCCGGCGCCUGGCAGCUGCUGCCCAAUCCUCGCUUCCGCCGUGCCCAUACGUGUCGUGCUGUGCUGUGUGUGCGAGUGCCCUCUGCCGCACUUUGAUUUCAAUUUAUACUUUGUUGCCGCAUUAUAAAGCGCGCAAAUUGAAUUUUCACACGUAGCUGGCUUCUCCGUUUUUGUUCUGGCAUUCAGCACGGCCAUUAAUUCACCAGCCAUGAAAAAAUGUAAUUUUUUAGAAAACCUUCACAUCCGUACAAACCGUAUGCAUUUCUAAAGGAAAA